This 60-nucleotide transfer RNA is filed under the name Perkinsus olseni. Its description in RNAcentral is "tRNA-Thr". It matches the Rfam family "tRNA", at positions 7 to 64 of the family's 71-position model. Rfam says of the family: Transfer RNA (tRNA) molecules are approximately 80 nucleotides in length. The record is from RNAcentral. Lineage: Eukaryota; Perkinsozoa; Perkinsida; Perkinsidae.
UUAGCUUAGUGGUAGAGCGUCUGCUUCGUAAGCAGAAGGUCGUCAGUUCAAUCCUGGCAA